RNAcentral lists this ribosomal RNA (252 nucleotides) under uncultured bacterium. RNAcentral describes it as "partial 16S ribosomal RNA". It matches the Rfam family "Bacterial small subunit ribosomal RNA", at positions 524 to 776 of the family's 1533-position model. The record is from RNAcentral.
UACGUAGGGUGCGAGCGUUGUCCGGAAUUAUUGGGCGUAAAGGGCUCGUAGGCGGUUGUCGCGUCGGGAGUGAAAUCAUCUGGCUUAACUGGGUGCUUGCUUUCGAUACGGGCAGACUAGAGGUAUGCAGGGGAGAACGGAAUUCCUGGUGUAGCGGUGAAAUGCGCAGAUAUCAGGAGGAACACCGGUGGCGAAGGCGGUUCUCUGGGCAUGACCUGACGCUGAGGAGCGAAAGUGUGGGGAGCGAACAGG